CUGUGAAAAGGGAUAGUAAGCUAAAUUUCUUCAUUUACAGAAAACCCUGGUUGAUGAGAAUGGGAGCUGCAGAAUUAGCUGAACAGGCCUUGGAGCAUUGCACCGAAAUCAUUAGUAGGCUGCAACGGCUGCACCCGUUACCGUGCUAUAGUAUACUCACAUUUCAUGUGACGUACUGGACAAGACCUUUGCCGCAAGACAACGGUAAACCGGGGUGGUACCACGAAGCAAAAGCUCUCGUCCCCAGG
RNAcentral lists this non-coding RNA (248 nucleotides) under Clostridia bacterium. Its description in RNAcentral is "T-box sequence". It matches the Rfam family "T-box leader". From Rfam's summary of the family: Uncharged tRNA acts as the effector for transcription antitermination of genes in the T-box leader family. Lineage: Bacteria; Bacillati; Bacillota; Clostridia. The record is from RNAcentral.